CUCUCCACACAGGUGUCUGAGAGGGCUGAGGUGGGCAAGGCGCUGAGAGUCCAUGUCACCCUCACCAACACCUUAAUGGUGGCUCUGAGCAGCUGCACGAUGGUGCUGGAAGGAAGCGGCCUCAUCAAUGGGCAGAUAGCAAAGGACCUUGGGACUCUGGUGGCCGGACACACCCUCCAAAUUCAACUGGACCUCUACCCGACCAAAGCUGGACCCCGCCAGCUCCAGGUUCUCAUCAGCAGCAACGAGGUCAAGGAGAUCAAAGGCUACAAGGACAUCUUCGUCACUGUGGCUGGGGCUCCCUGAGCCCCGCCCUCCGGCUGCCCUCCCUGGCACUCCUGCCCCACCUGGCUCCUUUCUACUCCUGGCUAUGUCGUCUUGGCUCCACCUCUGUCCUCUCUCCAGCCUGCCUGGGAGUGAAUGAAGCUCUGUUAGAAACACCGUGUGCUUUGGGAAGAGACAAUAAAGACGUCUUUAUUUA
This 481-nucleotide small RNA is filed under the name Pan troglodytes (chimpanzee). RNAcentral's name for it is "retained intron". Lineage: Eukaryota; Metazoa; Chordata; Mammalia; Primates; Hominidae. The record is from RNAcentral.